CUUGGUCAUUAGAGGAAGUAAAAGUCGUAACAAGGUUUCCGUAGGUGAACCUGCGGAAGGAUCAUUACUGAACUGUCGACACGAGUUGUUGCUGGCCCUCAAAUGGGGGCACGUGCACGCUCUGUUUGCAUCCACUCACACCUGUGCACCCUCUGUAGUUCCAUGGCCCAGGAGGUUCUGACCUCCUUCUGUGGUUCUGCUUCUUUACACACACACUGUAACACUGUUUUGUGGAAUGUACGCAGCGUUUAACGCGAUACAAUACAACUUUCAGCAACGGAUCUCUUGGCUCUCGCAUCGAUGAAGAACGCAGCGAAAUGCGAUAAGUAAUGUGAAUUGCAGAAUUCAGUGAAUCAUCGAAUCUUUGAACGCACCUUGCGCCCUUUGGCUAUUCCGAAGGGCAUGCCUGUUUGAGUAUCAUGAACACCUCAACUCUCAUGGCUUGCCGUGAUGAGCUUGGACUUUGGAGGCCUGCCGGCAUGUUGUCAGCUCCUCUCAAACAAAUCAGCCUGCCAGUGCACGGCGGCAUCAUGGGUGUGAUAACUAUCUGCGCUUGUGGUGCCUGCCAGACAGCCUUCAGCAGUGGAGGUUUGCUGCGGGGCUUACAAAUGUCUCUCCUCAGCGAAGACAGCUUUCUGAACGUUUGAUCUCAAAUCAGGUAGGACUACCCGCUGAACUUAAGCAUAUCAAUAAGCGGAGG
This 700-nucleotide ribosomal RNA is filed under the name uncultured Thelephoraceae. Its description in RNAcentral is "eukaryotic LSU rRNA". The stretch from base 266 to 420 matches the Rfam family "5.8S ribosomal RNA". The record is from RNAcentral. Lineage: Eukaryota; Fungi; Basidiomycota; Agaricomycetes; Thelephorales; Thelephoraceae.